Molecule: non-coding RNA, 155 nt
Filed under: uncultured Niameybacter sp.
Lineage: Bacteria; Bacillati; Bacillota; Clostridia; Lachnospirales; Lachnospiraceae
Description: glmS glucosamine-6-phosphate activated ribozyme
Rfam family: glmS glucosamine-6-phosphate activated ribozyme aptamer
About the family: This entry contains a glucosamine-6-phosphate activated ribozyme that is found in the mRNA for GlmS. GlmS is an enzyme that uses fructose-6-phosphate and glutamine to generate glucosamine-6-phosphate.
Source: RNAcentral
AAAAAUAAAGCGCCAGAACUUUCUUUAAUCAAUCAUUAUAGAUAAGCUUAGAGAAAGUUGACGAGGACUAGAGUUAUCGAAAAUUCGGCGGAUGCUCUAGAGGGACCACACCCUGACAAGGUGACAAAACUAUAAGGUAACGAAUAGGACAAAAC